RNAcentral lists this ribosomal RNA (253 nucleotides) under uncultured bacterium. RNAcentral's name for it is "partial 16S ribosomal RNA". It matches the Rfam family "Bacterial small subunit ribosomal RNA", at positions 524 to 776 of the family's 1533-position model. The record is from RNAcentral.
UACGUAGGGCGCAAGCGUUGUCCGGAAUUAUUGGGCGUAAAGAGCUCGUAGGCGGUCUGGCGCGUCCGUUGUGAAAACUCGAGGCUCAACCUCGGGCUUGCAGUGGAUACGGGCAGACUAGAGUGCGGUAGGGGAGACUGGAAUUCCUGGUGUAGCGGUGGAAUGCGCAGAUAUCAGGAGGAACACCGAUGGCGAAGGCGGAUCUCUGGGCCGAUACUGACGCUGAGGAGCGAAAGCGUGGGGAGCGAACAGG